This 27-nucleotide small RNA is filed under the name Bombyx mori (domestic silkworm). RNAcentral describes it as "ovarian small RNA-12555". The record is from RNAcentral. Lineage: Eukaryota; Metazoa; Arthropoda; Insecta; Lepidoptera; Bombycidae.
AUGACAUACAGGCUGUAGGUCCAGUAG